This 497-nucleotide ribosomal RNA is filed under the name uncultured bacterium. RNAcentral describes it as "partial 16S ribosomal RNA". It matches the Rfam family "Bacterial small subunit ribosomal RNA", at positions 28 to 507 of the family's 1533-position model. The record is from RNAcentral.
GAUGAACGCUGGCGGCGUGCCUAAUACAUGCCAGUCGAGCGAACAGAUGAGGAGCUUGCUCCUCUGACGUUAGCGGCGGACGGGUGAGUAACACGUGGAUAACCUACCUAUAAGACUGGGAUAACUUCGGGAAACCGGAGCUAAUACCGGAUAAUAUAUUGAACCGCAUGGUUCAAUAGUGAAAGACGGUUUUGCUGCCACUUAUAGAUGGAUCCGCGCCGCAUUAGCUAGUUGGUAAGGUAACGGCUUACCAAGGCAACGAUGCGUAGCCGACCUGAGAGGGUGAUCGGCCACACUGGAACUGAGACACGGUCCAGACUCCUACGGGAGGCAGCAGUAGGGAAUCUUCCGCAAUGGGCGAAAGCCUGACGGAGCAACGCCGCGUGAGUGAUGAAGGUCUUCGGAUCGUAAAACUCUGUUAUUAGGGAAGAACAAAUGUGUAAGUAACUAUGCACGUCUUGACGGUACCUAAUCAGAAAGCCACGGCUAACUACGUG